This 396-nucleotide ribosomal RNA is filed under the name Triticum aestivum (bread wheat). Its description in RNAcentral is "partial small subunit ribosomal RNA". The record is from RNAcentral. Lineage: Eukaryota; Viridiplantae; Streptophyta; Magnoliopsida; Poales; Poaceae.
AUGAAGAAUUCUUGCUAUCAACUAGGGCUGGAUGCCCCCAGGAAGAAUGCCGCCCCCGUUGCAUUGCAAGGGCAAUCAGGUCAUGGCAGAAUCAAGCAGGAACUAGGAAGUAGGAAGGGACCAGUCCCGCCCCCAGCGACAAAGACUUCGACAACGGUGACGACAGUGUGUCCCGGCGAGCAUGAGCAAUGGAAGCAUAAUCUCCAAGUAACUGACCAAGACGUUGUCCAGGUCACACGUCGAGGACUUCCUGCCGCCACCUUGGCUGCUGUUGUUGUCCCCUCAAAUAAGCCAUAUAAGGUUAGUUCCAUACACUGCAAAUGCAACUUGCAAGCAUGGGGACAUGUACAGAACACAAGUGUCAUACACACAGAAAUCAUCAACUUUGUGUUUUAA